UGGCCCACACAGGGGGAUAACACUUAGAAAUAGGUGCUAAUACCGCAUAACAACAGAAAGCGCAUGCUUUUUGUUUGAAAACCAAGGUGGUAUGGGAUGGACCCGCGUCUGAUUAGCUGGUUGGCGGGGUAAAGGCCCACCAAGGCGACGAUCAGUAGCCGGCCUGAGAGGGUGGACGGCCACAUUGGGACUGAGACACGGCCCAAACUCCUACGGGAGGCAGCAGUGGGGAAUAUUGCACAAUGGGGGAAACCCUGAUGCAGCGACGCCGCGUGAGUGAAGAAGUAAUUCGUUAUGUAAAGCUCUAUCAGCAGGGAAGAAAAUGACGGUACCUGAGUAAGAAGCCCCGGCUAACUACGUGCCAGCAGCCGCGGUAAUACGUAGGGGGCAAGCGUUAUCCGGAUUUACUGGGUGUAAAGGGAGCGUAGACGGCAGUGCAAGUCUGGAGUGAAAGGCGGGGGCUCAACCCCCGGACUGCUCUGGAAACUGUACGGCUGGAGUGCAGGAGAGGUAAGUGGAAUUCCUAGUGUAGCGGUGAAAUGCGUAGAUAUUAGGAGGAACACCAGUGGCGAAGGCGGCUUACUGGACUGUAACUGACGUUGAGGCUCGAAAGCGUGGGGAGCAAACAGGAUUAGAUACCCUGGUAGUCCACGCCGUAAACGAUGAUCACUAGGUGU
Molecule: ribosomal RNA, 677 nt
Filed under: uncultured bacterium
Lineage: Bacteria
Description: bacterial SSU rRNA
Rfam family: Bacterial small subunit ribosomal RNA
Source: RNAcentral